UGGAUACAACACCACAUUCUUAUGCCUGAGACCUACACAAAGAUUCAUAUUUAUCUGUUUUAAGAGCAUUUGCGAGGAGAGGAACAGGUAUUCACAUGCGAGUGCGUAAGACCAACAAUUAUUCUGUUGUCACUACUUGUUUGACAAAGUGAAAGUCCAAGGUUUUCUGAAAAGCAGAAAAUACUUUAGAUAGUACUAGGUAAUUACCCGCGCUACGCAGCUGGAUUUUUUUUAUUUUUUAUUUUAUUGGUUAUAAAAUAUUUUCAUUUUAUAAAUGAAUAAUUAUAUUAAUAUAAAUUUUGUAUCUAAAUAUUUAAAAUCUAGACAUACAUUGUAUUAUUUAUAUUUUGAUUAUUGUAUAAUAAUUAUUUAUUUGAUAUUAAUCUUUAAUAUAUUAGCUUCCAAGUUAAUUUUUUCGCACCUUUUCUCUCGAGUUGGUGGUGUAAAAUCUCAUUGUUUUUUAAUUUUGUUUUUUGGAUUUUAGGUUCCAGUUUGUGGUCUAAAAGACUCUAAUACUAUCCUCUUUCCAUUCCAUAAAAAUAUUUCAUAUUUUAAAAUUUGUUUCAAUAUAAAUAUCAGUUUUACAUUUUUGAUAUAUAAAAAAUCAGUUUAAUCCUUAUUUUUACCUUAUGUAUCGAUCAAAUAAAAAAUAAUGUGGAA
RNAcentral lists this long non-coding RNA (660 nucleotides) under Brassica rapa (field mustard). RNAcentral's name for it is "long non-coding RNA (BRAP_LNC007672)". Lineage: Eukaryota; Viridiplantae; Streptophyta; Magnoliopsida; Brassicales; Brassicaceae. The record is from RNAcentral.